This 187-nucleotide unclassified non-coding RNA is filed under the name soil metagenome. RNAcentral describes it as "partial contains 5.8S ribosomal RNA, internal transcribed spacer 2, and large subunit ribosomal RNA". The record is from RNAcentral.
AACGGUCUAUACCUGCGGUACCUGCGGAAGGAUCAUUACUGAACGGCCCCAUGGGCCUUCAACCCCAUCAAACCUGUGGACCUCAAUCCGUGCUUCGGCGCCGUGGAAGCGGCGUCGCUUUUAUGCAUAAAGCUGGAUCUAGUCUGAUUCAAUCAAGAAGAUUUAAAACUUUCAACAACGGAUCUCU